GACGAACGCUGGCGGCGUGCCUAAUACAUGCAAGUCGAGCGGACGGAUGGGAGCUUGCUCCCAGACCGUCAGCGGCGGACGGGUGAGUAACACGUGGGCAACCUGCCUGUAAGACUGGGAUAACUCCGGGAAACCGGGGCUAAUACCGGAUAACUCUUUCCCUCACAUGAGGGAAAGCUGAAAGAUGGCAUCUCGCUAUCACUUACAGAUGGGCCCGCGGCGCAUUAGCUAGUUGGUGAGGUAACGGCUCACCAAGGCGACGAUGCGUAGCCGACCUGAGAGGGUGAUCGGCCACACUGGGACUGAGACACGGCCCAGACUCCUACGGGAGGCAGCAGUAGGGAAUCUUCCGCAAUGGACGAAAGUCUGACGGAGCAACGCCGCGUGAGUGAUGAAGGUUUUCGGAUCGUAAAACUCUGUUGUCAGGGAAGAACAAGUACCGGAGUAACUGCCGGUACCUUGACGGUACCUGACCAGAAAGCCUCGGCUAACUACGUG
Molecule: ribosomal RNA, 498 nt
Filed under: uncultured bacterium
Lineage: Bacteria
Description: partial 16S ribosomal RNA
Rfam family: Bacterial small subunit ribosomal RNA
Source: RNAcentral